GGUUCAAGGGAUGAAAGACGGUUUCGGCUGUCACUUACAGAUGGACCCGCGGCGCAUUAGCUAGUUGGUGAGGUAACGGCUCACCAAGGCGACGAUGCGUAGCCGACCUGAGAGGGUGAUCGGCCACACUGGGACUGAGACACGGCCCAGACUCCUACGGGAGGCAGCAGUAGGGAAUCUUCCGCAAUGGACGAAAGUCUGACGGAGCAACGCCGCGUGAGUGAUGAAGGUUUUCGGAUCGUAAAGCUCUGUUGUUAGGGAAGAACAAGUGCAAGAGUAACUGCUUGCACCUUGACGGUACCUAACCAGAAAGCCACGGCUAACUACGUGCCAKCAGCCGCGGUAAUACGUAGGUGGCAAGCGUUGUCCGGAAUUAUUGGGCGUAAAGGGCUCGCAGGCGGUUUCUUAAGUCUGAUGUGAAAGCCCCCGGCUCAACCGGGGAGGGUCAUUGGAAACUGGGAAACUUGAGUGCAGAAGAGGAGAGUGGAAUUCCACGUGUAGCGGUGAAAUGCGUAGAGAUGUGGAGGAACACCAGUGGCGAAGGCGACUCUCUGGUCUGUAACUGACGCUGAGGAGCGAAAGCGUGGGGAGCGAACAGGAUUAGAUACCCUGGUAGUCCACGCCGUAAACGAUGAGUGCUAAGUGUUAGGGGGUUUCCGCCCCUUAGUGCUGCAGCUAACGCAUUAAGCACUCCGCCUGGGGAGUACGGUCGCAAGACUGAAACUCAAAGGAAUUGACGGGGGCCCGCACAAGCGGUGGAGCAUGUGGUUUAAUUCAAGCACGCGAAGAACUUACCAGGUCUUGACAUCCUCUGACAACCCUAGAGAUAGGGCUUUCCCUUCGGGGACAGAGUGACAGGUGGUGCAUGGUUGUCGUCAGCUCGUGUCGUGAGAUGUUGGGUUAAGUCCCGCAACGAGCGCAACCCUUGAUCUUAGUUGCCAGCAUUUAGUUGGGCACUCUAAGGUGACUGCCGGUGACAAACCGGAGGAAGGUGGGGAUGACGUCAAAUCAUCAUGCCCCUUAUGACCUGGGCUACACACGUGCUACAAUGGACAGAACAAAGGGCUGCGAGACCGCAAGGUUUAGCCAAUCCCACAAAUCUGUUCUCAGUUCGGAUCGCAGUCUGGCUCAAUAAGUCGUAACAAGGUAACCAUAGUGUUUGAUCCUCGCUAAGGGAGUCGUAACAAGGUCACCAUAGAGUUUGAUCCUCGCACUUAAAGUCGUAACAAGGUAACCAUAGAGUUUG
Molecule: ribosomal RNA, 1246 nt
Filed under: Bacillus stratosphericus
Lineage: Bacteria; Bacillati; Bacillota; Bacilli; Caryophanales; Bacillaceae
Description: bacterial SSU rRNA
Source: RNAcentral